CUACGAAACAUGCCAGAAUCAUGUUGCUCCACCAGCGGGAUGCCAAACAUGAUUAGAGGUUUGAGGCGCCUUGCAGCGCAUCCUUGGCUGUACCGAAGCCCAGCUCUCUGCACACCACGCUGGCCGCGGUCCUCUCCCACAUGUGGUCCACGAUCGUCCCCCAUUUUCCGUCUCGGAGUACCUCCACGCGACCCUCGCCAAGCCUGGGCCCGGCCUUCAGACGCACCGGCUACAAAGAGGAACGGAAAGGAAAGUCAAAGUCAACACCACAUAAAUACACUUGUGUGUUUUUUUCAUAUAUAGCGCUGUCUUACCACGACUGGGUACGGGGCUUGAGGUCUUCCCGAGGAAAUCCUGGAAAACUGAGGGCCUGGAACACAUUUGACCACAGCGUGCCGCCCGUUCUUACAGGGGGCGGGGCUACGGGGGAUUGACAGCUGACCGUGGCACUCGGACAAUGUGUUCUCAGUGCCCAGACAGUUGACCUUCUCGACCCAGAAGCCCUUCUUCUUGGCCAUGAGGCUCAGCCUGAAAGGGACAAGGAAUUUUGUGGUGUGCACAAAAAUGGCAAAGGCAAAAUGGACUACUUGCUUCAACCAGCAGAGGCGCUGUUGAUGCAGUCUCAACUUCUUUGCUGUAUGAAGAAAGGGAAACUG
Long non-coding RNA from Phycodurus eques (leafy seadragon), 656 nucleotides. RefSeq lists it as uncharacterized. The transcript has 3 exons. The record is from RefSeq and is a predicted model, not a curated record. NCBI's taxonomy places the organism in Eukaryota, Metazoa, Chordata, Actinopteri, Syngnathiformes, Syngnathidae.